This 497-nucleotide ribosomal RNA is filed under the name uncultured bacterium. Its description in RNAcentral is "partial 16S ribosomal RNA". It matches the Rfam family "Bacterial small subunit ribosomal RNA", at positions 28 to 507 of the family's 1533-position model. The record is from RNAcentral.
GAUGAACGCUGGCGGCGUGCCUAAUACAUGCAAGUCGAGCGAACAGACUAUGCGCUUGCUCCUCUGACGUUAGCGUCUGACGUGUGAGUAACACGUUGAUAACCUACCUAUCUGACUGGGAUAACUUCGUGAAACCGGAGCUAAUACCGUAUAAUCUCUUAAUCCUCAUUGUUGCAUGGUGAAUGACUGUUUUGCUGUCUCUUAUCACUGGAUCCUCGCCGCAUUUGCUAUUUGGUAAGGUAACGGCUUACCAAGGCCACAAUGCGUAGCCGACCUGAGAGGGGGAUCGGCCACACGGGAACUGAGACACGGUCAAGACUCCUACGGGAGGCAGCAGUAGGGAAUCUUCGGCAAUGGGCGAAAGCCUGACGGAGCAACGCCGCGUGAGUGAUGAAGGUCUUCGGAUCGUAAAACUCUGUGAUUAGGGAAGAACAAAUGUGUAAGUAAAUAUGCACGUCUUGACGGUACCUAAUCAGAAAGCCACGGCUAACUACGUG